Molecule: long non-coding RNA, 315 nt
Filed under: Coffea arabica (coffee)
Lineage: Eukaryota; Viridiplantae; Streptophyta; Magnoliopsida; Gentianales; Rubiaceae
Description: long non-coding RNA (CARA_LNC007561)
Source: RNAcentral
CUGGUUGUUUUAAAUUGUACACGUGCAAAAGCAGAUGCUUGUGUUUUGUUAUCUGAAAUUGCAGUUAUUUGGCAUAAAAUAAGCUGGCUGCCACUGAAGUACUUGUUUUUGGACUAGUCAUAUUGUUAAAUGAUAAUGAAGGACAAGGAGGGGAAAUCUCUCCAGGAUGUUUAGUUUUUUGGCAUAGGAAUGGAUAUCACUCCAGGUUGUUAGUUUUUUGGCAUCGGAAGGCUAUUUCCUUAUGCUAAGCUGAGGUGGUGAGUUUAACUAAGUAAUGGUAAUUUGAGUCGAUAUUAAAGCUGUGGGAUGUUGGGG